UCUUCAAACACAAAGCAGGUGUCAUAGUCCUGAUUGUCAACUUGGGAGGAUUAGAGUCACCACAGCAACCAAUCCCUGGCCACCCUUCUGUGAGGUUACCUGAGGUGGGAAGACCUCUGGGAUGCCCGAAUGAAUAGAAAAAGAGACAGCAAACUGAGCACCACCAUUUAUGUCUCUCUGCUUCCAGACCACUUCGCACACUCCAAGCCUCCAUGACAGCGGCCUCAAACGAGGAGGCCAAAUAAGCCCUCCGACCUGACCUUGUCUUUGCCAGGUAUCCAGACACAACACCAGUAACUAGGGUUGCCGAGAUGACUCAGCAGGAAUUCAGUUAACACCAGGCAUGGGGUGCACGCCUGGAACCCUGAAGCAGGGGAGACACAGCAGCAGGAGGACUCCUUUCUGCUACUACAGUGACAAUAAGACCAAGCCCACAACACAUGCUGUGGAGAGACAGUACUGGGAGUAGCUAGGCAGGUUCCUGGUGCCUGCACCUGCCUGUGAGCUGCACAAGACCCAUCAGGAGAUUUCCCGGCAGAGGAGAGGGAGCAAGAGUAAAACAGAAACAUAAAAUGUGGAGCGGUCCCUUCUCACUGAGUGGUUACAUGUGGGGCCGAGGGAGAAGGAUCGUGGUCCGGAUGCCGCGUGGAAUACUUAGUUCUCAUAACUUGGUAAAUCUCAGAAGCACACAGCCAGGAAGAGAAAGCCGGGAGGGAGGAACUGCAGUCAAUGGGAGACAGGUCUGUCAGGAGAAGUCUGCAGAGCCUGAGACAUGUGCUGCCUCUUUUCAUCCGCCAUGGGUGCACACUGUCCACACACAAGGCAGAUACCGAGGCUGAUGUACCAACUCCUCCAGCUAACUCAGCAGCGGCUGGCAUCACCGAGAGUCAAAACACGGGUUCUGGCUUCCUCGCAAAACCAGAAGCUAGUUCUGCCCAGUGCUGACCCAGAGGGCUGCUCUAAGGUUAGCUAUACCCCGGUGUGGGAAAUCACUUCCCAGCCCCUGUCAAGUCUUCCCUCAACUUAAGUCUUCUGAAAGCACUCAGGAGAUGCUAAGAGCAGAGCAUGCUGGGAAGUCGGGUGCACUCUCUAGGACCAACACAUAAAACCAGUCUUGGGAAGAACCUAGCAGGGUGAGGAAGAGCCUUAGGGAACACAACUCCCAACCAUUAACACAAGUCGGCACCCAGGGAUGAGGACGGGUCAUCUCCAGUCUGAAGGCUUCAAUCCCGGAAAGGAAGGAUGCAGGUGGCGUUAGCCACUGGCACUGUAAGAGCUAAGGGCUCAGUUAACCCCGGCUGCACAGAGAGGUCUGGGUGGGGCACCACCCGCUACAGAGACCACAGGACUGCAUGCGUUUAGAGAAGGGGGGCUCAGCUCGUCACCUCAGAAGAGUCCUGAGUGCGGAGUGAUUUCAUAGGCCACACCACAGGCUCGCUUCCCAGGUACACACGGGGUUUCUCGUACAUUAUUAAAAGUAGCAGCCUGUGGCUACGCUACGCUUCAGCCCCAGAGCUCAUUAGCUUGAGUGAAUCUCCACGACCGCAGUGGAGCCAUAAAGGAGCAGUCGUCCUCCACCGUAUAAAUUGAUAACUUUCUUCCUGUUUUAUGGCUCCGUUUAUGUCCACUUUAUAAGGUUUUGCGUUUUACUGACCAGGUUUCAGCGUGUGCGCUCCGCUUACCCUGGGGGUGUGGCCGAGUAGAUUUGAAUCUUCCAGGAAGUUUUGCUCUCUGCCUCUCUUUUGCACUAAACCUGGGCUAAGAAAUUAGAAAUAACAACCACCACCGCUACCCCACCCACCACCCUGCCAAGCAAGCUCUUUAUGUAGGCACAGGCACGCAACCUGUUCAAGGCCAUUCAAUACGGAAGAGACUCUGGGAGAACUUCGGGGCCAUGGAUGUGUGGAGAAACUAGAUCUACAGAAGUGUGGGAGCAAAUAAGUAAACCAUGGGCCAAUGGGAUGACUCGGUGGCCAACGCACCAAGCCUCAGGACUUGAGUUCAAUCCCCAGCACCCACGAGGGAGGAGGAGAAAAACUAAUUUAUCUUCUGACCACCACACAGGCACUGGGGCGUGCUGUCCGGGAGUGCACACGCAAAAUACUUACACAAAUAAGUGGGAACGUCUGCGUAAGUAAGAUGCAAAGUGACAAAAUUAGCUUGAUAAUAAAAGUGUCUAAUUACUCAAGGUGAAGCACUGGGAGAAAUGCCAGAGAAACCCGGAACCACCAAUCAAGUUCUGAGGCAAAUAAACACUCAAGCCAAUUAACUAUCUAGCGAUGCUUAAACUUAAAGAUCAAGUAUGUGACCGCGAUAAAUGGGAGAGGGGACUAAUUUCUAGGUUACUUUUCCCUUUGUUUGUUUGUUUUUGUUUGUUUGUUUCUGACAGGGUCUCCGUUAAGUCAGACUGGCCUUGAUCUGCUCCUCCUGCCUCAGCUUCCCAAGUGCUGGGUUACAGAGAGUUUACAGGCCACCAUGCCCAGCCCCUUCAUCUUGAUUUCUUGGUCAAUGUCCGUUGUCAACUCUCUUUCCUAAUAAUGCACACGGUAAGCACGCCACGAAGAGACUGAUCCGUGGGAAAAAUGGAAGACCGAAUAAUAACAGUAACAAUCAUAACCACAAAUAAUAAAAACUAAACAACAUGACCUUGACAGAAAACCUUCCAUGUGUCCUGAGCUGUGUGAGAUGUCAUUCCCCGUUGUCAUGGAAACAGACGUGGUACAGAAAUUAUACAAACGAGUCAGGUCCCAACCUCAAACACACACACACAAAAGUCCGGGCACAUGGAAGACUUCAAUAAAAGUAACCAUUUGACAUUUUCAGCAGAAAAUGUCUCUAACUAACAAGAAAAUAUCUAACUCCUGCCACAUUAAAAUAAGAAUUCCUUGGGAGGCGCUGGAGAGAUGGCUCAACGGUGAA
Molecule: small RNA, 2919 nt
Filed under: Rattus norvegicus (Norway rat)
Lineage: Eukaryota; Metazoa; Chordata; Mammalia; Rodentia; Muridae
Description: uncharacterized LOC108351789
Source: RNAcentral